RNAcentral lists this ribosomal RNA (276 nucleotides) under uncultured bacterium. RNAcentral's name for it is "partial 16S ribosomal RNA". It matches the Rfam family "Bacterial small subunit ribosomal RNA", at positions 334 to 607 of the family's 1533-position model. The record is from RNAcentral.
UAUGCCUACGGGACGCAGCAGUGAGGAAUAUUGGUCAAUGGCCGAAGGGCUGAACCAGCCAAGCCGCGUGAAGGAAUAAGGCCCUACGGGUCGUAAACUUCUUUAGUCAGGGAACAAAGGGUGCCACGCGUGGCGCUGGGAGUGUACCUGAAGAAUAAGCAUCGGCUAACUCCGUGCCAGCAGCCGCGGUAAUACGGAGGAUGCGAGCGUUAGCCGGAUUUAUUGGGUUUAAAGGGUGCGUAGGCGGGUUGUCAAGUCAGCGGUAAAAAUUCCGGG